Molecule: ribosomal RNA, 889 nt
Filed under: uncultured bacterium
Lineage: Bacteria
Description: bacterial SSU rRNA
Rfam family: Bacterial small subunit ribosomal RNA
Source: RNAcentral
ACGCUAUCUACAGGCUUAACACAUGCAAGUCGAGGGGCAGCAUGGUCUUAGCUUGCUAAGGCCGAUGGCGACCGGCGCACGGGUGAGUAACACGUAUCCAACCUGCCGUCUACUCUUGGACAGCCUUCUGAAAGGAAGAUUAAUACAAGAUGGCAUCAUGAGUUCACAUGUUCGCAUGAUUAAAGGUAUUCCGGUAGACGAUGGGGAUGCGUUCCAUUAGAUAGUAGGCGGGGUAACGGCCCACCUAGUCUUCGAUGGAUAGGGGUUCUGAGAGGAAGGUCCCCCACAUUGGAACUGAGACACGGUCCAAACUCCUACGGGAGGCAGCAGUGAGGAAUAUUGGUCAAUGGGCGAGAGCCUGAACCAGCCAAGUAGCGUGAAGGAUGACUGCCCUAUGGGUUGUAAACUUCUUUUAUAAAGGAAUAAAGUCGGGUAUGUAUACCCGUUUGCAUGUACUUUAUGAAUAAGGAUCGGCUAACUCCGUGCCAGCAGCCGCGGUAAUACGGAGGAUCCGAGCGUUAUCCGGAUUUAUUGGGUUUAAAGGGAGCGUAGAUGGAUGUUUAAGUCAGUUGUGAAAGUUUGCGGCUCAACCGUAAAAUUGCAGUUGAUACUGGAUAUCUUGAGUGCAGUUGAGGCAGGCGGAAUUCGUGGUGUAGCGGUGAAAUGCUUAGAUAUCACGAAGAACUCCGAUUGCGAAGGCAGCCUGCUAAGCUGCAACUGACAUUGAGGCUCGAAAGUGUGGGUAUCAAACAGGAUUAGAUACCCUGGUAGUCCACACGGUAAACGAUGAAUACUCGCUGUUUGCGAUAUACUGCAAGCGGCCAAGCGAAAGCGUUAAGUAUUCCACCUGGGGAGUACGCCGGCAACGGUGAAACUCAAAGGAAAUUGA